AAAAAAAAAAAAGACUGGGAUAACUUCGGGAAACCGGAGCUAAUACCGGAUAAUAUAUUGAACCGCAUGGUUCAAUAGUGAAAGACGGUUUUGCUGUCACUUAUAGAUGGAUCCGCGCCGCAUUAGCUAGUUGGUAAGGUAACGGCUUACCAAGGCAACGAUGCGUAGCCGACCUGAGCAGGUGAUCGGCCACACUGGAAUGAAGAAACGGUCAAGACGCGUACGGGAGGCAGCAGUAGGGAAUGUUCCGCAAUGGGCGAAAGCCUGACGGAGAAACUUUUUGUUUGUAAUGAUGGUCCGCCCACCGAGAUCUACACAAGGUG
RNAcentral lists this ribosomal RNA (323 nucleotides) under uncultured bacterium. Its description in RNAcentral is "partial 16S ribosomal RNA". The stretch from base 1 to 277 matches the Rfam family "Bacterial small subunit ribosomal RNA", at positions 124 to 395 of the family's 1533-position model. The record is from RNAcentral.